RNAcentral lists this ribosomal RNA (497 nucleotides) under uncultured bacterium. RNAcentral describes it as "partial 16S ribosomal RNA". It matches the Rfam family "Bacterial small subunit ribosomal RNA", at positions 28 to 507 of the family's 1533-position model. The record is from RNAcentral.
GAUGAACGCUGGCGGCGUGCCUAAUACAUGCAAGUCGAGCGAACAGACGAGGAGCUUGCUCCUCUGACGUUAGCGGCGGACGGGUGAGUAACACGUGGAUAACCUACCUAUAAGACUGGGAUAACUUCGGGAAACCGGAGCUAAUACCGGAUAAUAUAUUGAACCGCAUGGUUCAAUAGUGAAAGACGGUUUUGCUGUCACUUAUAGAUGGAUCCGCGCCGCAUUAGCUAGUUGGUAAGGUAACGGCUUACCAAGGCAACGAUGCGUAGCCGACCUGAGAGGGUGAUCGGCCACACUGGAACUGAGACACGGUCCAGAGUCCUACGGGAGGCAGCAGUAGGGAAGCUGCCGCAAUGGGCGAAAGCCUGACGGAGCAACGCCGCGUGAGUGAUGAAGGUCUUCGGAUCGUAAAACUCUGUUAUUAGGGAAGAACAAAUGUGUAAGUAACUAUGCACGUCUUGACGGUACCUAAUCAGAAAGCCACGGCUAACUACGUG